RNAcentral lists this ribosomal RNA (254 nucleotides) under uncultured bacterium. RNAcentral's name for it is "partial 16S ribosomal RNA". It matches the Rfam family "Bacterial small subunit ribosomal RNA", at positions 524 to 776 of the family's 1533-position model. The record is from RNAcentral.
UACGUAGGGGCCAAGCGUUGUCCGGAUUUAUUGGGCGUAAAGAGCUCGUAGGCGGUGUGUCGCGUCGGCCGUGAAAACCUGCAGCUUAACUGUGGGCUUGCGGUCGAUACGGGCAUCACUGGAGUUCGGCAGGGGAGACUGGAAUUCCUGGUGUAGCGGUGAAAUGCGCAGAUAUCAGGAGGAACACCGGUGGCGAAGGCAGGUCUCUGGGCCGAUACUGACGCUGAGGAGCGAAAGCGUGGGGAGCGAACAGG